This 320-nucleotide ribosomal RNA is filed under the name uncultured Pseudomonadota bacterium. RNAcentral describes it as "bacterial SSU rRNA". It matches the Rfam family "Bacterial small subunit ribosomal RNA", at positions 29 to 351 of the family's 1533-position model. The record is from RNAcentral. Lineage: Bacteria; Pseudomonadati; Pseudomonadota.
AACGAACGUUAGCGGCGCGCUUAACACAUGCAAGUCGAACGAGAAAGUUCCCUUCGGGGAGCGAGUACAGUGGCGCACGGGUGAGUAACACGUGGGAAUCUACCCUAUGGUGGGGGACAACAUCCCGAAAGGGGUGCUAAUACCGCAUGAGUCCACUUCGGUGGGGAAAGGCGGCUUCGGCUGUCGCCAUUGGAUGAGCCCGCGGCCCAUCAGCUAGUUGGCAGGGUAAUGGCCUACCAAGGCAACGACGGGUAGCUGGUCUGAGAGGAUGACCAGUCACACUGGAACUGAGACACGGUCCAGACUCCUACGGGUGGCAG